CCUACGGGGGGCAGCAGUGGGGAAUAUUGCACAAUGGGGGAAACCCUGAUGCAGCAACGCCGCGUGAAGGAAGACGGUUUUCGGAUUGUAAACUUCUGUUCUUAGUGAAGAAUAAUGACGGUAGCUAAGGAGCAAGCCACGGCUAACUACGUGCCAGCAGCCGCGGUAAUACGUAGGGGGCAAGCGUUAUCCGGAUUUACUGGGUGUAAAGGGUGCGUAGGUGGCAGGGCAAGUCAGAUGUGAAAGCCCGGGGCCCAACCCCGGUACUGCAUUUGAAACUGUCCGGCUGGAGUGCAGGAGAGGUA
RNAcentral lists this ribosomal RNA (305 nucleotides) under uncultured bacterium. RNAcentral describes it as "bacterial SSU rRNA". It matches the Rfam family "Bacterial small subunit ribosomal RNA", at positions 338 to 659 of the family's 1533-position model. The record is from RNAcentral.